GGAGCAGAGGGAGGUAAUGAGGAAGGAGGUCGCUCUGCAGGGCAGGUUUUCAAGACCACAGGAGCUUGGCUCAAGCCCAGCGCUGGCGUGAGGGCUGAUCCACAGAAAUUGGGGGCAGGGGAACACCGAGGCUUAUUCUCCACCGCCAUCUCCUCAUUCCGACAGAGGUGCCGCCCGGUCCCUACCAGGUAUGGCAGCAGGCUCCUGGGAGUGGAGACAAGAUUGGGCCCUUAUCAGAAGACUGUGCGGCCUGGAAGGAGCUUCCAAGCGUUUGUUGAUUGCCCCAUAGUGACAGCCAACACCUGCCCUGGGAGGCCCUGUUGUAAAUCUUUGCCUGCAGCUGUUCACUCACCAGCCCUCCGAGGAAGCCGCAAAAAGGCAUCACUCCCCCACAACAAUGAGAAAAUCAGCAGGCAAAUGCCAAAAAUUCUGACGCCUGUUGAAUCCUUUGGAUAUAUGGUUAGUGAUGACCCGUGUAACCUAAUCCAAGAGAGAAGAGUUUGGUGUAAGGGGCCUGCGCAGCCUAACGGUCAGAGAGGAUCGAGUGUGAGAAGAAAUCAGCUAAGCUGUAAAACAUGGUUGAAAUCCAUGUAGAUCAGGAAUAGCUGAGGGCGCAGCGGAGUUGACAUUCGGCUGCAAAGUCUGUUCCAGAGCUUUCCGGAGUUCCCACAGAAUGUUCACAAGGAAUAUCGGAGGCAGCGAGAAACUGUUCUCUCCAGCUGCUAUCGAGACAGCCUGGAACAACAGCUCCUCAGCUUUGCACCGACAUUCAUGAGCUAGACACGGAUGGAGAUUGUAGUGUUGGAGUACCCUGAAUUGAGGAGGGGUUCCCAAGCUGGAUUCGUCACCCCAAGAAUCAAGAGUCCACACGCCAAUUGAUGCAACACGCAAGAGGCUUUAAUUAGGCAUCU
Molecule: long non-coding RNA, 911 nt
Organism: Mesocricetus auratus (golden hamster)
Lineage: Eukaryota; Metazoa; Chordata; Mammalia; Rodentia; Cricetidae
Exons: 3
Source: RefSeq, a predicted model, not a curated record